AUCCAUUGGAGGGCAAGUCUAGUGCCAGCAGCCGCGGUAAUUCUAGCUCCAAUAGCGUAUAUUAAAGUUGUUGCGGUUAAAAAGCUCGUAGUUGGAUCUCAGUUCCAGACGGGCGGUCCACUUACCGGUGGUCACUGCUUGUUCUGAACAGCCAGCCGGUUUCCUUUGAUGAUCUUCACCGGUUGUCUUGGGUGACCGGCAAGUUUACUUUGAAAAAAUUAGAGUGCUCAAAGCAGGCGCGACGCCUGAAUAAUGGUGCAUGGAAUAAUGGAAUAGGACCUCGGUUCUAUUUUGUUGGUUUUCGGAACACGAGGUAAUGAUUAAGAGGGACAGACGGGGGCAUUCGUAUUGCGACGCUAGAGGUGAAAUUCUUGGACCGUCGCAAGACGAACUACUGCGAAAGCAUUUGCCAAGAAUGUUUCCAUUAAUCAAGAACGAAAGUUAGAGGUUCGAAGGCGAUCAGAUACCGCCCUAGUUCUAACCAUAAACGAUGCCAGCCAGCGAUCCGGCUGUGUUCCUCAAAUGACACGCCGGGCAGCUUCCGGGAAACCAAAGCUUUUGGGUUCCGGGGGAAGUAUGGUUGCAAAGCUGAAACUUAAAGGAAUUGACGGAAGGGCACCACCAGGAAUGGAGCCUGCGGCUUAAUUUGACUCAACACGGGAAAACUUACCCGGCCCGGACACAGGAAGGAUUGACAGAUUAAGAGCUCUUUCUUGAUUCUGUGGGUGGUGGUGCAUGGCCGUUCUUAGUUGGUGGAGCGAUUUGUCUGGUUAAUUCYGAUAACGAACGAGACUCUAGCCUACKAAAUAGACGUCCCGGUCC
This 822-nucleotide ribosomal RNA is filed under the name Cheiracanthium sp. S321. Its description in RNAcentral is "SSU rRNA". It matches the Rfam family "Eukaryotic small subunit ribosomal RNA", at positions 545 to 1381 of the family's 1831-position model. The record is from RNAcentral. Lineage: Eukaryota; Metazoa; Arthropoda; Arachnida; Araneae; Cheiracanthiidae.